Molecule: ribosomal RNA, 458 nt
Filed under: uncultured bacterium
Lineage: Bacteria
Description: SSU rRNA
Rfam family: Bacterial small subunit ribosomal RNA
Source: RNAcentral
AGGAUGAACGCUGGCGGCGUGCCUAAUACAUGCAAGUCGAGCGGUAAGGCCACUUCGGUGGUACACGAGCGGCGGACGGCUGAGUAACACGUAGGAACGUACCCCAAACUGAGGCAUAAGCACCAGAAAUGGUGUCUAAUACCGCAUGUGCUCUUCGGAGUAAAGCUACGGCGGUUUGGGAACGGCCUGCGCAUGAUUAGCUUGUUGGUGAGGUAAUAGCUCACCAAGGCGACGAUCAUUAGCUGGUCUGAGAGGAUGACCAGCCAGACUGGGACUGAGAACGGCCCAGACUCCUACGGGAGGCAGCAGUAGGGAAUUUUCCACAAUGGGCGAAAGCCUGAUGGAGCAACGCCGCGUGCAGGAUGAAGGCCUUCGGGUCGUAAACUGCUUUUAUCUGUGAAGAUUAUGACGGUAGCAGAUGAAUAAGGAUCGGCUAACUCCGUGCCAGCAGCCGCGGU